This 65-nucleotide transfer RNA is filed under the name Cautires simillimus. RNAcentral describes it as "tRNA-Glu". Lineage: Eukaryota; Metazoa; Arthropoda; Insecta; Coleoptera; Lycidae. The record is from RNAcentral.
UUUAUAUAGUUUAAUUAAAACAUUAUAUUUUCAAUAUAAAAAUAAAUACUUAUUUUUUAUAAAUA